UCAAAGGGUGACAGAUUGUCCGGAGCGGGUGACAAGUUUACUCGGACGAAGAAGUCAAGCUGUCUCUCCAUUCUUAAAAGUACCAUCUUUAAACCCUUUUAGUGUACACUACAAAACCGUGUGUGCACUCCAUUGAGCAACGCUACGAAACUAAAAAGCUCCUUUUUAAUCUCAGGUGUGUAGACAGCUGUGUCGGUCAUUGUAUCGCUCGCAUUCUAUGUUCUCUACUAAUUACGUAAGUAGCGUUACGCGCUUGUAGUAGAUCUCAAAACAACUUCUACAAACACGUUUUAAUCUAUUGCUUAAAUCAAGUGAAACGGUUGUAAAUAAGUUGAAGACGAGAUUAAAGGACAACGAAGGCGGCAGGGAUCGGUUGAGAUGAAGAUGACAACCUUUAUGGACAUUAAUAACGCAAGUGCUGAUGGGAAAAUCACGGACAUCUGCGAAGACGAAGUUAGCUUGCAGUCAUCGGACGGAUCUUUCAUAGAAACACACGCAUUUGUUUUUAACUUUGGCUGCCAGCAAGUCUGAUGACUUUACCCAGAAGAUUAAAGACGUAGACAUGGAGGAAGGGGGCCGAAAGACAGUCAUCUUGUCCAAUAAGAGGAAAGAGCACUGAAGAAUGUGAAAAUCUCCCAUUCAGUCCAGUUCACAGAGGCUGGGAGCGGCCACAUCCUUUAGGAACGAGGAGGGGUCGCAGCUUCGGGAGGGUAGAUAGGGAUUUUGGACAGGAGCCAGAAGCGACGCAGAGGCUCCUCAUAUGACGGCGUUCCGUGGGAGCGUCCAGUUCCCCCUCCUCUUUGUUGUCCCAUAGGACAUAGACUCUAGAAUCUCAUUGCCUUCGGUUUACUCCCACAAACAAACUCUCCCAGCACUCCUUCUACCCCAUGAGUGGAACCAGUCAGUAGGCGGCACAUUGAGGAAUGCGUUUCUAUUAAUAGAGAGGUAGCAGUGGAACAGGAAGAUGAAACAAGCAAAUUGGCCUCCAGGGACACCCCAGACACACACUCCCAUCUGACACAGCAGAAGGCAAAGCAGCGGACCCCUCUGAUAUAUCCUUCAGCUCCAUAUCAGCAUUUCUGUGCCCAUCUGCUUUUUUUAUCAUGUUCUCUUCAGCAUGCUACUCACAUCCAGGACACAAUGUGGAUGAUGUUUUGAAUAAAAUAUCUAAAACAAACAAUGGCGCGCGGUUUCAAAUCAACACAUGACACGAAAUGAGGAUUUGAAUAGGUGGUAGUAAUGCAGCGUUCAAAAAAACAUGAAUUGAGAAAACGGAUGAUCCAUAAAUAUUGCUCACCCGCCAUGAAACUGGAUAUUGGAUUAUUAAAAAAAUACAUUUUUGUUUCUUUGACUAUGGAAUUAUUUUGCUCUUUUUCUGUUUGUAACAGUGAUGAGCCAGGCACAGUCUCUCCAUGAAUCCUCCACUUGUCACAACAUGAAGACGUUGCGCCUCAUAUUUUUGCUUCGGUGGCUUUUUUAAUACUGUAUGUGUCACUACAUGGUGUUCUGGAGAAAAAUAAGCUUUUUACCAUCCUGGCUUGCACUGUGAAAAACAGGGAUCUUAACAGGGGCUCCAUGAGCCUUUGGUGGUCAGGGUCAGGGUGUAAUUAAUGUUUGAUCUGAAAUAAUAAAAAAUUAAGUUGCUUAC
This is a long non-coding RNA of Paramisgurnus dabryanus, 1648 nucleotides long. RefSeq lists it as uncharacterized. The record is from RefSeq and is a predicted model, not a curated record. NCBI's taxonomy places the organism in Eukaryota, Metazoa, Chordata, Actinopteri, Cypriniformes, Cobitidae.